This 497-nucleotide ribosomal RNA is filed under the name uncultured bacterium. RNAcentral's name for it is "partial 16S ribosomal RNA". It matches the Rfam family "Bacterial small subunit ribosomal RNA", at positions 28 to 507 of the family's 1533-position model. The record is from RNAcentral.
GAUGAACGCUGGCGGCGUGCCUAAUACAUGCAAGUCGAGCGAACGGACGAGAAGCUUGCUUCUCUGAUGUUAGCGGCGGACGUGUGAGUAACACGUGGAUAACCUACCUAUAAGACUGGUAUAACUUCGGGAAACCGGAUCUAAUACCGGAUAAUAUUUUGAACCGCAUGGUUCAAAAGUGAAAGACGGUCUUGCUGUCUCUUAUAGAUGCAUCCGCGCUGCAUGAGCUAGUUGUUAAGGUAACGGCUUACCAAGGCAACGAUGCAUAGCCGACCUGAGAGGGUGAUCGGCCACCCUGGAACUGAGCCACGGUCCAGACUCCUACGGGAGGCCGCAGUAGGGAAUCUUCCGCAAUGGGCGAAAGCCUGACGGAGCAACGGCGCGUGAGUGAUGAAGGUCUUCGGAUCGUAAUACUCUGUUAUUAGGGAAGAACAUAUGUGUAAGUAACUGUGCACAUCUUGACGGUACCUAAUCAGAAAGCCCCGGCUAACUACGUG